RNAcentral lists this ribosomal RNA (448 nucleotides) under uncultured bacterium. RNAcentral describes it as "bacterial SSU rRNA". It matches the Rfam family "Bacterial small subunit ribosomal RNA", at positions 329 to 792 of the family's 1533-position model. The record is from RNAcentral.
GUCCAGACUCCUACGGGAGGCAGCAGUGGGGGAUAUUGCACAAUGGGGGGAACCCUGAUGCAGCGACGCCGCGUGAGGGAAGACGGUUUUCGGAUUGUAAACCUCUGUCUUUAGGGACGAAACAAAUGACGGUACCUAAAGAGGAAGCCACGGCUAACUACGUGCCAGCAGCCGCGGUAAUACGGAGGAUGCGAGCGUUAUCCGGAUUUAUUGGGUUUAAAGGGUGCGCAGGCGGAAUGUCAAGUCAGCGGUAAAAUUUCGGGGCUCAACCCCGUCGUGCCGUUGAAACUGGCGUUCUUGAGUGAGCGAGAAGUAUGCGGAAUGCGUGGUGUAGCGGUGAAAUGCAUAGAUAUCGCGCAGAACCCCGAUUGCGAAGGCAGCGUGCCGUGCCGCCACUGACGCUGAGGCACGAAAGCGCGGGGAUCGAACAGGAUUAGAUACCCCAGUA